RNAcentral lists this non-coding RNA (893 nucleotides) under Holoaden bradei (Itatiaia highland frog). Its description in RNAcentral is "partial 12S ribosomal RNA". It matches the Rfam family "Bacterial small subunit ribosomal RNA". Lineage: Eukaryota; Metazoa; Chordata; Amphibia; Anura; Craugastoridae. The record is from RNAcentral.
CACAAGGGCCUGGUCCCAACCCUACUAUCAAUCUUUACUUAACUUACACAUGCAAGCCUCAACACCCCCGUGAAAACGCCCUUAAACCCCGCCCGGGAAUAAGGAGCUGGUAUCAGGCACAAUACCCGCCCAAAACACCUAGCCACGCCACACCCACAAGGGUACUCAGCAGUGAUUAACAUUGAGCAUAAACGUCAGUUUGACUCAGUUAGAGUAACUAGGGCCGGCAAAUCCGGUGCCAGCCGCCGCGGAUACACCGUAAGGCCCAAAUUGAUAUCAACGGCGUAAAGCGUGGUUUAAGCAUAUUAGAUUAAGGCUAAAUUAAAGCUGAGCUGUAAAAAGCCUGCUACCAAGAAGUUCAGGAGCGAAAGCCGCCUUAACUACACCUACUUGAACCCACGACAAUUGGGACACAAACUGGGAUUAGAUACCCCACUAUGCCUAAUCGUAAACUUUUAACUUACCCCCUUUCCCGCCAGAGAACUACAAGCGAAAGCUUCAAACUCAAGGGACUUGACGGCACCCCAUAUCCCCCUAGAGGAGCCUGUCCUGUAAUCGAUAACCCCCGAUCAACCUCCCCACUUAUAGCUUUUUCAGCCUGUAUACUUCCGUCGCCAGCUUACCCCGUGAGGGCUACUAGUAAGCCCAAUGUUUUCCACAAUACGCCAGGUCAAAGUGCAGCUCAUAAAGUGGAAAGAGAUGGGCUACACUUUCUAAACUAGAAAAAACGAAAAACACUUUGAAAUUUGUGUUAGAAGGUGGAUUUAGCAGUAAAAAGAAAACACGAGCGUUCUCUUUAAGCCGGCAAUGGAGUGUGUACACACCGCCCGUCACCCUCUUCAAAGCAUUUAACCCAGUUUGUAACAAUCUUUGCACCCUAGAAGAGGCAAGUC